AAAGAAGCAAAAGAAGCCAAAACAAGGUGUUUCAGCUGGGGCAGCAGUUUGAUAUAGAAUAGUAAAUGCCCUGGGCAUGUACCAGAGCCAAAUCACCUACCUUUGGCAUGUUUUGACUUGGACUUCCUGUUUUGACUAUUUACCGCUGUAGAAAUUGAUUAGAAUUAAUUUAGAAAACUUUUCUACCCUAUUUAGGAUUUAUUUGUUUUUCUUUUCAACUAGGAUUAGUUUAUGUCUAUUUUUUU
RNAcentral lists this unclassified non-coding RNA (245 nucleotides) under Hevea brasiliensis (rubber tree). Lineage: Eukaryota; Viridiplantae; Streptophyta; Magnoliopsida; Malpighiales; Euphorbiaceae. The record is from RNAcentral.